UCCACAAGUUAAGUUGUUUUGCAGUUUGCCUGUGCCUGCUCUUCAGGCUGCCUUCACAAAUUGUACACAUCCACUUGCUGGCUGCGACAGAAAAGCUUUUCCAGAACUGCUGCAAGAAAACAACACUUCUGAGAAAAUAUAACAUGUGACUUUUACAAAGAAUUUUAAAACCAAAUGAUAGUAGAAAUACUUGCUAGACAUUCAGACUGUCAGCAUACACAGAAGUAAAAGUAACCCCAUCUCAAAUAGAGAUUAUUACCUUUUUUUUAAGGACCCUAAAAUCAAAACAAGUAUUUGGUAACUGAUCGUUUUUGAGAAACUAAUCUUUUUUACAAAACAGUGGACUGAGGUACUGAAGUACUUAGAUGCUUAGAUAAUGUCUGUCCCUGGAUUGUAGCUAUAUAACCUUAAUAAAUAGGUUAUAAAUAGGUUAUAAUAAAUAGGGUCAGGAAAACACUGAAAACAUUUUGAAUUCUGAUGAAACAAAAUAAGCACUAUAACCAACUUCUGGAUGAAAAAAAUCUUUAUUUUUGACUUUCCCUUUUUCUGUUCUCAGGAUCUCCAUGCACUUUUUAAUGCAUCUUGAAGCCAAGAUGAAAUUACAGCCCUCAGAAGGCCAAUGGGAAGCUCACAACUGCCCGCUGCCUUCAGCAGAGCUGGGAUUUUACUCUUACUGUAAAGACAGCUUAAGAAAUACUGGGUCCAGCUACCCACUUCUAUGGAAAUAGUCAGCUGGAAACAUAGCAAAGCCUACCACACAAUUUCCUUUCCAUUUUUCCCUGCAGGGAGAUUUUUAAUCUUGAGUGGAAAACAGGAUCCAGGGAAACCUGUGGAAGCCUUAUGGUUGCCAUCUAGAGAAAGCUGGCUCUGGCUGGGCUCCUCGCCUUGCCCUGCUCCCCAUCCCACCAUUGCCUCAGCCCCAGGUUUGCAGCCCACUCUGCUUGUCCCCUCUUCUACGAUGCAACAAAGAAGGUUUGUCUUGUUUGUAUUCUGAAACACCCAGACAAGCUGUUUCCCUGCCUCCACCUUCUGUGACUCUGGGGCAUGUGCUGGAGGAUCUGCCCAUGGUUUUUGCAUGCUCUGGAAAGCCAUUCCCUUCCCACAUCUGAAUUAUGGUGCUCUUCAGCUACCUUUGGCAAGAGAGGCGCAAAUCCUGCACUGCUACAAGCUCCCAGCUCUCAAACCUGGCCUGUGCGGACAACCAUCUCCUAAUGCCUCUCCCUUUUGCAGUCCCUCCUCCUGCCUCUCUUGACUUUUCCUUGUCUGCACACCACAGAGAGCUGCCUACCCAGGCUCUGAUUUCCAUCUCUCUCCCCCAUGUCCUCACACCUGGGGAGAGCAGCCCCAAAACACCAAGGACUCCAGGCUUAGUAGCACUCAGCACAGCACUCCCAUUUGCUGUCGCACAUGGGCUGAGAGCUUCACCACUGCAGAACUGCAAAUCUUUGUGUUAGGAAGUGAAGGUGUGUGGGAUUCACAUUCUCUAAACAGAGAGAGACAUGAUUCUCUCUCCAAGGACUUUUCCUGGGAAGCUGUUAGAUGCAGUGAGAAAGCUCAGAGAAAGAAGAAAACAGCUCUUAUCUCUGUUCGCUGCUCCUGUUGUUUGGCAUAUGUGGAAUGUGUUAUGGAGAUUGUUUACUGAAGACUGAUUUGUUAAUUGGGCAUCGGUGAUGGUUGUUUGGAUUGAUUGGCCAAUUGGGUCAAAGGUGUGUCGUGACUGUCUCCAGACAGUCAUGGGAUUUUUUUUAGUAUAUUUUUAAUAUGAUAUAGUUCUAGUACAGUAUAGUAUUAAUGUAAUACAAUUUAGUUUAAUAAAAGCAAUUUAUUCAGCCUUCUGCAACAUGGAGUCAGAGCAUGUUAUUCCCCCUUCAAGGGUCACUGCUUCAAUAGAGGUGGUGCUCAGACACCAAGUUAAAUCAUCCUAGUUGCAGCUCUUUACUGGAAUUGAUUAGAAUCCACUUUCUUAUAACUGAGCACCACUUGCUUCUAUUAAUUUUCUUAACAGUAAAGUGCCCAAUCCUACAAAAUGCUAAACCUUUAAGCUGGUUGCAAAAUUUUCUUUUACUUCCCUCAGAAUUAGAAUAGCUAUUUUUUUAAUUAAGAAGUGAAUAAAUAAACUACUUGCAGUCUUUUAAGAGACAACUUCAUGCUAAGAAGAGACUAAUUACCCUCCCCAUUCACAGAAAAUAAAAGCAAAGCUUUCACCAUUUUAGAAAAAAUAAGAGACGUUAACAAGAGGAAUUGCAAAAUCUGAUUUUGUGAUGAGCUGGUUUUCCUGCAAUUUUUUAAUUCAUAGAAAUAUUUUGAGAAACCCACCUUGAGGUGUGUCAGCCUUUUAUUAUUUCCUCUUUAGAUGCAGUUGUAGAUGAGCAUGCUAUAAAUGAAACACAAUUUUCCUGAAGGCAAUCAUAAAGGUGUGUUGCAGCCUUUCCUUCUCAAUUUCACAUGGAGUGAAUUUACCACAAUGGGCAGUAAUAUUUUAAUUUGAACAACUGGAAAAUACUUACCUGCCCACUCUGUAUUCUCAGUAUAAACUCAAGAUCAGCUCUUGAGCUUUGGGACAGUAUUUAUGCUUGUAUUUAAAAGUGAAAUGUCAUGAAUAAACUGUCAAACACCUUGAGAGUAACUUCUCUGUUUGAACAGCAGUGAUUUUGUGAUAAAUGUGAUGCACACUGCACAGUCAGUUCUCAACAAUAAAUGCAGAUCUAACCAAGUUAUAUUCUGACAAUGGUUGAAGCAAGGAAACUUCCAGAGGAGUUACCUGAGAGUAACAUGCAGGAGAGCAGUACAACAGCAGGAUGGGGAUGCUGUAAUGGGAUAUAUUGCCCGUAAAUUCCUCCAUCAAAUGCAGGGAUUAAGAGCUGCCAGGAUAGUCUCCACCCUAGGUAGGUGGGGGGGAAACAAAGCCAGCACAUGGCUUGGGCAGCCAGGAAAAUGAGCCAAUUCAGCACAGGCUCAGCAGUGCUGCUGCCAGUAGGAUAUCAGUGGAGUUUGCAGGAAAAAGCCAACACUACCUCUGAGUGAGAGUGACAGACCAGUGCCCUGUGGAGCUACAGGCAUGGAACCAGAGGUGGGCAAGGUGCCAGGUGGGCGCUGGCAUUAUCUUGUGUUGCUCAAAGGGACUGCACAGCCCUGUGGCUGGCAGUCCUGCCCUUCUGUAGUGUUCUGUAGUGGCACUGGAGCAUAGGCAAAGUUACCAGUAACAAAGCAAUAGCAUUUAACCUGAACAAGACAACAUGACAGAGCAUCAUUGAGCCAUACUUUCAGUCUCAGGUAAACACAGACAGUGAGAGUAACACUGAGUCACAGGAUGUAAAACAGUUAUUCAAACAAGUAUGCAACAAAACAGCAUCAAGACAUCCCCCCUGAGGGAUACAGGACAUUUUCAUUUUUCUUGUGGUCUUUGUCAUUAAACUACCCCAUAAAUAUUUCUAAUUUUGUGUUGCAGCAAGUAAUUAAUAUUAGCUAAGCUAUACUAGGACAAAAAAAAAAAAAAACAACAAAAAAACAAAAAAAAACCACCAAAAAAAACCCUUCUCUUUCACCCAAAAGGAUGCUGGUGAUGCCAUAAGGAGGACAAAUUCCACCAAAUGUGCUGCACUUUCGACACAGGGUAAUAUUCUAUGUUAGCCUAGAGUAACACCUUAUUAAAUGCUGCAGACCACUAAUAAUGCAACCAUCCAAAUGACAGCUAAUUGCAAAUAAAAGUCUAUUACUUCAGCACUUCUGAAGUUAUUUCUUAGACAACCUAUCAAAAAUAUUUUACAUGAUGGCUGACAGAAGCCUCCCAAUGCAACAUGUUUACAUCAAUUUAAUGGUUAUUGUGAAGUUUUCACCUUAGUGAAGUUCCAUCAUGCCAAACAUGUUUCACACACUGCAACAAAGCCUUAGGAUACAGUGAGAAGACAAGGCCUGUGGGGGCCUCACUUCAUAAGAGGUCAGCAGCUAAAUGUGGGUCUGGGUCUUCAUUAAGUGUUGUCUGAGUGGAAAACUAGAGUUUAUUUACUCAACCUCAAGAUAAGCAACUUAAUGCUGCUGAUUUGAAUGCAAACAAGGGCAAGACCUCAUGCCUGGAAGACUCUCUGAUGUGGUUACAGUGGAAGCUUAGAAUAAACACAGGUUGGGAUACGAAACACAGUUGUCAUGGCCUACAAAUUCAGCAUAUUUUAAAGUAUUUAAAUAUUUUUAAAGCAUUGUCUACAACUGAACUAUCAAAGUGGUAUUGCUUUUAUUUUGAAGAUGUUACGCUUUCAAUUACAUAUUGUUUAUUAAGGUCUGUUUUGCUAAUUCACUGAAAUCUCUCCCAUAUGACAGAAAUUACAUUUGCUUCUCCAUUUAGUGACCUCAAAUGACAAAAGGUGCAGAAUGAAUUUAAGUUGGCAUAUAAAUGCAAUUAUGCCUUCCUUUUUUCUUACAGGGCUUAUCUAGUCUGCUUUAACACCAUCGCUGGGUGGUAAUGGUGUUUAACACCAUUCACAAAUGAAUAUGGGGCUCCUAAUGCUUGCAAUGUGUCCAGGACCUAAUCCUGGCAUGCUUAGUUUGUCCUUAAGAAGCUAUUUCACAUCUUAAAAUGCUUGUAGACUUCUAAAAAUUAAACUGUGGAAACCAAGGCCUCAGCUGUGAGACAAGUCUUGCUUCCUAAACCUGCUAAUCCAUUUUUAAAUUACUACUCUUAUUAAAGUACUAUUUCAAAAUUGAUCAGCAGCUUCAGAACAAAGCAUUUUUCUUUUAUGCUGUAAACACAGAAACAGCAAAGGGGUCAGUCCAAGGCAAGAAAAACUAAGUCCUCUUUCUCUAAAUGAGUGUGACUCAUUGCCUAAGAGUUACAGCUCAACUGAACAACAGAGGCAAGAGAUUUACAAAUAUGAAAAACUCUCACAGCUAUGGACGCGAGAGCAACUUGCUCUUCUAAGGGGUCUAAGCACAUUAUUGACUUGCAUUUUUGAAUCAACAUUUGAAUUCAGAAUCCAUAUGAUCCAUUGACUCCAAGUUUGCCCAACACGGAGAACAAUGAUGCUCUGGGUCCAGCAAUGCAAACAGCAACCAAUAAAAUCUAGAAGAAUUAAACGGGACAGUGAGGCUGAUAUUCAGAUUUUGCACAGUAGUGCCAGUCAUGUAGUGCUGUCAUUGGAAACACCUAUUAAAUAAAAUGCAAUUCCAGCGCCUGAACACUAAGAGGGUUAAUUCAUGAUAAAAACAGAGGUGUGCCUCAGUUUCCUUAUUUUUAUAGGUAAGCGUUUAAAUGCUUGAUUUAGCACCUCUUCCUCUGUCUUGAGUUUUGCUAGCUGAAGCACUUUUGAGGUCAUGCAGCACUGGAGUGGAAGAUGAUGUCACACAAAUGUAAAUUUCUUGAGUACUCUCAAUAAUUUUGAAGUGUGUCAUGCCAAACUCAGGAUUACUUUCACUGGUCACUUUCAGGGUGCAUUCAGAAAGGACUACAGUGUCAAUCUGGAAGUUGUCUCUCAUGACUGGGAUUGGCAAAAGACUGAUGAAAUACUAGCCCAUAGCCUAUUUUGAAAAAUACUCAUCAUGUAAAUAAACAGCAGUCUCUUCUCAUACCUAGUUACCAUCCCUUUGAGUAACAAUUUUUUUUAAAAGUACAAAGGGAUGGCAGCAGAAGGGUGGGCAUCAUCCAGAGGGCCGAUUUGAGCGCCACUAGAUUUCAGUCUUGUCUUGCCCCUCUAUUGGAAAAAAAAAACCAAAACCAAACACAACACAAACACACACAAAUAUGUGCAUAUACUAGAAAUUUUGGGCAUUGCUAUAUGAACAAACCAGAAAUCCUACUCCUUCCAAUGGGAUCUGUUAUGGAAACAGCAUAUAAUUUCAUUGUAAUACCACAAAUUUGCCACUACAUUAAAGAGCAUUACUGUUACUGAAGGAUGAACAGUAAAUCAACAUCCCCAGCUCUUCAGGCUACAGUCCCUCUGCAGGGGAAUGGUAAUUUUGAGUGUCCCUUCAUUGCAGGGUAUAAAUACAUCCCGUGAGAGAAAGAAAAGCUGAUGAAUAUGGAAUGUCUAAGCAAGAACUUCAGUCCCAAAAAUUUUGUUGUACCAGGUU
Long non-coding RNA from Taeniopygia guttata (zebra finch), 6060 nucleotides. The record is from Ensembl. Lineage: Eukaryota; Metazoa; Chordata; Aves; Passeriformes; Estrildidae.